GACGAACGCUGGCGGCGUGCUUAACACAUGCAAGUCGAACGGAAAGGCCCUUCGGGGUACUCGAGUGGCGAACGGGUGAGUAACACGUGGGUGAUCUGCCCUGCACUUUGGGAUAAGCCUGGGAAACUGGGUCUAAUACCGAAUAGGAUCAUCGGCUUCAUGGUCGGUGGUGGAAAGCUUUUGCGGUGUGGGAUGGGCCCGCGGCCUAUCAGCUUGUUGGUGGGGUAAUGGCCUACCAAGGCGACGACGGGUAGCCGGCCUGAGAGGGUGACCGGCCACACUGGGACUGAGAUACGGCCCAGACUCCUACGGGAGGCAGCAGUGGGGAAUAUUGCACAAUGGGCGCAAGCCUGAUGCAGCGACGCCGCGUGAGGGAUGACGCCCUUCGGGUUGUAAACCUCUCUCAGCAGGGACGAAGCGCAAGUGACGGUACCUGUAGAAGAAGGACCGGCCAACUACGUGCCAGCAGCCGCGGUAA
This 478-nucleotide ribosomal RNA is filed under the name uncultured bacterium. RNAcentral's name for it is "partial 16S ribosomal RNA". It matches the Rfam family "Bacterial small subunit ribosomal RNA", at positions 28 to 523 of the family's 1533-position model. The record is from RNAcentral.